Molecule: ribosomal RNA, 362 nt
Filed under: uncultured copper smeltery bacterium D63
Lineage: Bacteria
Description: bacterial SSU rRNA
Rfam family: Bacterial small subunit ribosomal RNA
Source: RNAcentral
ACCUUUCGGGUCUAGUGGCGCACGGGUGCGUAACGCGUGGGAAUCUGCCCUNUGGUNCGGAAUAACUCAGGGAAACUUGAGCUAAUACCGUAUAAUGACUUCGGUCCAAAGAUUUAUCGCCUAAGGAUGAGCCCGCGUCGGAUUAGCUAGUUGGUGAGGUAAAGGCUCACCAAGGCGACGAUCCGUAGCUGGUCUGAGAGGAUGAUCAGCCACACUGGGACUGAGACACGGCCCAGACUCCUACGGGAGGCAGCAGUGGGGAAUAUUGGACAAUGGGGGAAACCCUGAUCCAGCAAUGCCGAGUGAGUGAUGAAGGCCUUAGGGUUGUAAAGCUCUUUUACCCGGGAUGAUAAUUCCAGAAA